CGCGACUGCUACACCAGGCACUCCUGGGCCCGGGCAGCAGACCAGUCAGCCCUGUGGCUCCUCGGCGACCUCCAGCGGGCGCCCGGGGCCGGGAUGCAGGGCGCGCGGACAGAAACGAGACAGACAGCUCAGGCCCAGCAGCACGCAAGCUCCCGCGCCUUCCGCGACUGCCACACGCGCGGCGCGCGCGCACCCUACUUUUUCUCCGCCACCUGGGCCGUGAUUGGGCGCGACCUGGGCUCCUGGGUGCUCAUUGGCGCCGUGAAGUGCUCGUCACCGCCCCCUCCUGCCCCUUCAUGCAUGCGCGGAGGCCGCCUGCUAGCAAGGUUCCCACGUAACAUCACAUCAGACCCAAGGGCCCGUUCAUUGCAAGGCGAAGGAGGCAUGACAAUGGCACGUGACCAUGGGAUCACUGGUCCUGUCACAUUCUGCACCACCCAGAAGAUACUGGCUUGAACGAAGAGAAGAAAUGGGCUGUUGAAGGCGUAGCUGAGAUGCCAGCUCAGAGACGAUGAUACCAAGUGCUGAACCUGAGAGCAGCCCCAGUACACUCCCUGCAUGGGAAUCUCCAUCUCAAAGUCAGCCUCCAGGGAGCCCGCCCUGAAACAGAUUCUGUCAUGGAACUCAACAGAGUAUCCUGGUGCGGAUAACCAGUGUUGGGAGUUAGAGCACGGACUCUCUCCACCUGCACGGUGCUGGAGCUCUGCACACCCCCUCUGCAGCCAUCCCUCGCCGCUGUCCCUUAGCUGACGCCCUUGCCCUCUGUGUGUCCUUCCUCAUGGCCUGCAGGUUUCAGAUCCCAAGCUACAGAUCAUGUCUUCUAGUCUGGGCUCUGGCAGAGAGUUCGGAAGCACUCUUAUUAUCUUAGCAGCAGCAUGUGUGGAAAUCAUUUCUCAUUACAGCGGAGGGCAGGCAUUGUGCAGAGGGUUAAGUGGGCCUGCUUGAAGUUGGUUGUUGUUAGCUCUCAUGUCUAUGCCUUGGUCCCUUUCCCCUCAGGACUUGGAGAGCAAGCUGUUUGAGUCUGAUGCAACCCCUGGGCUUUGACUAUCAUGCCAAAAGGCAGCAAAUAAGUGCCUUUUCUUCCCUUCAGAAUACAUGGACAAUCCAAAGCUCUAUUAGUCUAUUAUUCAGAAUGAAAAGUGUUUACAAUAUUCGUCCUCUUACUCCUCAGUAUGUGAGACUGUUCCUCGUAGCAGGUAAUUUCUUCCGAAUUCAAAAACUCCUCAUGGAAGCAUCUGUUUUUGUCAUCAAGGAGGGGGCUGUAUGUGGAAUUGCAAGGCCAAAGACAUCUCGGGUCAACUCUUCUCAGGACCAGAUCCAAGUCGCCAGUGAGAACACACAUUCAGGCAGCCUCCACCAGCGCCCUGCCUCAGGAGCGAGGCUCCCUGCUUCAUGUGGGCAAGAGCUGCCCUUGUUUUCCCAGCGGGCAGUUGGGGGUCUGGAGCCUAGGAAGCAAAGUGAAGCACACACUCCUGCUUCCUUCCUUCCCUGCAGUUGAGACGGGAGUCUUACUUUGUUGCCCAGGCUGGUCUCAAACUCCUGGCUUCAAGCAAUCCUUCCACUUUGGCCUUCCAAAGUGCUGGGAUUACAGGCAUGAGCCACCAUGCCCAGCCUCCUUCUCUUACUAGCUGAGAACUAAGAGAAGACACUCUGGAGACAGAGGAGGAAACAGUGACGAUGCCACAUGAUGAAUACAUAAUGGAGGGUGAAGACAAGGCUCCGUCAGGGGCACCAAGGAGGGAAACCCAGUUCUGUGGGGAAGGUAUGGGGCAGCUUCACAAGCCCAGUGUCUGCUCCCUUUGUGGGAGACGUGUUGUUUCAGCAUCCAUUCCCCCUUCUUUUAGGAAAAGUGCUUGAAUUUCCUUUUCAUGGAACCACCCACCUCCCUCUCAUCCAUGCAUUCUAUUCCCAGUAUCAGGGGUAGACAAGUGACUUCAGGCUUGGCCAAUUAGGGUUCUGACUCUUGGUCAAAUCAGAGUGAAUCCUGAGUCAUUUGUAAACUCCAAGGAAAGGGCUUGCUUUGUUUUCUGUUGAAUGCAGUGCUCUGAGAUAGCCGGAAAUGAAACUGCUCUCUUGCCACACUGAAGGCUAGAGAAGGGCCUGGCCAGGAAAUGAUGCCAGUGAUCAGGGGUGGAGCUGGAAGAGGGGGAGUGAGGAGGCCCAGACAUCUUGGGAGCCCCAAAUUCACCUCAGGAUUUAACUUCUCCGCUGCUCAGCCAAUAAAUUCCUUUCUUCCAUGACUAAUUUGAGUUGAGUUUUUAGUUUUUGCAACUAAAACAGCACUGACUAAUACACCCUUAGGUAAGAUUAGAGCAAGAAUUUCCAAUAUCUGUGUUCUUCAUCCUGAAAUUUGGUGAGGAUAUCUAAGGUUCUUUUGUCUUUUAAAAGAAUUCUGUUGCAAUGGAAAGUAUCAAUCCAUAUUUUUCCAUUUCUCCAAAAUGUUUUAGUGUAUAUCUAUGGGGCACAAACUUAAUCUCUGUAGGCCCUCUGCCAUAGUUGCUCUGUGCCACUUGAUAAGGGGCUGGUAUCUAGAAUAUAUAAAAACUCUUAAAACUCAGCCGGGCAUGGUGGCUCAUGCCUAUAAUCCCAGCUCUUUGGGAGGCCGAGGCAGGCGGAUCACCUGAGGUCAGGAGUUUGAGACCAGCCUGGCCAACACGGUGAAACUCUAUCUCUCUAAAAAUACAAAAAUUAGGCGGGCGUAGUGGCUCACUCAAGACUGAGGCAGAAGAACCACUUGAACCCAGGAGUUGGAGGUUUCAGUGAGCCCAGAUGGCUCCACGGCACUCCAUCCUGUGCAACAGAGUGGCACAGGAUGGCAAAAACAAACAAAAGCUCUUAAAACUCAACAAUAAAAGACAACCCACUUUAGAAAUGAGAAAAGGGCCAAGUGUGGUGGUAAUCCCAGCACUUUGGGAAGUUGAGGUGUGUAGAUUGCUUGAGCCCAGGAGUUUGAGAGCAGCCUGGGCAACAUGGC
Molecule: long non-coding RNA, 2974 nt
Organism: Homo sapiens (human)
Lineage: Eukaryota; Metazoa; Chordata; Mammalia; Primates; Hominidae
Gene: STARD7-AS1
Product: STARD7 antisense RNA 1
Source: Ensembl